RNAcentral lists this transfer RNA (85 nucleotides) under Desulfuromonas sp. Its description in RNAcentral is "tRNA-Leu". It matches the Rfam family "tRNA". From Rfam's summary of the family: Transfer RNA (tRNA) molecules are approximately 80 nucleotides in length. Their secondary structure includes four short double-helical elements and three loops (D, anti-codon, and T loops). The record is from RNAcentral. Lineage: Bacteria; Pseudomonadati; Thermodesulfobacteriota; Desulfuromonadia; Desulfuromonadales; Desulfuromonadaceae. RNAcentral also lists the same sequence under 2 other names.
GCCGAAGUGGUGGAAUUGGUAGACACGUCGGUCUCAAAAACCGAUGCCUUCGGGCGUGCCGGUUCGAUUCCGGCCUUCGGUACCA